CCCUUCUUCCAGAUCACCAAACCCAACAACAGGACUACUCUGGGUGACAACCAUUUUGAGGCCUACAGCCGUUACCAGCUCUUGGUUGCUGCAGAUGUUGAGAAUACGCUGAGUUUUAAAAAAGGCCGUGAUACCAGUCAGGUGUAUGGUCAGUCCCUGGGAGUCAAUUUUGAUGGACGGACGUACAUAGAAGGUGGUCAGCAUGAUGCCAAGGACUCAUACAAGAGGCAUGCCUUCAAUCUAGCCGAGAGUGACAAAAUCUCCAGUAAUCGCCCUGUGCCAGACACCAGGAAUUACAGGUGCUCGGCCUUUGAGUAUGAUGCCUCCUCCCUGCCCCAGACCAGUGUCAUCAUCACCUUUCACAACGAGGCCAGAUCUGCCCUCCUCAGGACCAUCACUAGUGUACUGAACAGAAGCCCUCCAAACCUGGUGCGAGAGAUUGUCCUUGUGGAUGACUUCAGUGAUGAUCGUAAGUUAACAAUGUACCA
Molecule: long non-coding RNA, 488 nt
Organism: Branchiostoma floridae (Florida lancelet)
Lineage: Eukaryota; Metazoa; Chordata; Leptocardii; Amphioxiformes; Branchiostomatidae
Exons: 4
Source: RefSeq, a predicted model, not a curated record